CGAACGCUGGCGGCGUGCUUAACACAUGCAAGUCGAGCGGUAAGGUCCUUUCGGGGGUACACGAGCGGCGAACGGGUGAGUAACACGUGGGUGACCUGCCCUCAGCUCUGGGAUAAGCCUGGGAAACCGGGUCUAAUACUGGAUAUGACUCCAUGACGCAUGUUGUGGGGUGGAAAGCCUUGUGCGGCUGAGGAUGGGCCCGCGGCCUAUCAGCUUGUUGGUGGGGUGAUGGCCACCAAGGCGACGACGGGUAGCCGGCCUGAGAGGGCGACCGGCCACACUGGGACUGAGACACGGCCCAGACUCCUACGGGAGGCAGCAGUGGGGAAUCUUGCGCAAUGGGCGAAAGCCUGACGCAGCGACGCCGCGUGAGGGAUGACGGCCU
Molecule: ribosomal RNA, 385 nt
Filed under: uncultured bacterium
Lineage: Bacteria
Description: bacterial SSU rRNA
Rfam family: Bacterial small subunit ribosomal RNA
Source: RNAcentral